RNAcentral lists this ribosomal RNA (453 nucleotides) under Streptococcus mutans. RNAcentral describes it as "bacterial SSU rRNA". It matches the Rfam family "Bacterial small subunit ribosomal RNA", at positions 28 to 463 of the family's 1533-position model. Lineage: Bacteria; Bacillati; Bacillota; Bacilli; Lactobacillales; Streptococcaceae. The record is from RNAcentral.
GACGAACGCUGGCGGCGUGCCUAAUACAUGCAAGUGGGACGCAAGGAAACACACUGUGCUUGCACACCGUGUUUUCUUGAGUCGCGAACGGGUGAGUAACGCGUAGGUAACCUGCCUAUUAGCGGGGGAUAACUAUUGGAAACGAUAGCUAAUACCGCAUAAUAUUAAUUAUUGCAUGAUAAUUGAUUGAAAGAUGCAAGCGCAUCACUAGUAGAUGGACCUGCGUUGUAUUAGCUAGUUGGUAAGGUAAGAGCUUACCAAGGCGACGAUACAUAGCCGACCUGAGAGGGUGAUCGGCCACACUGGGACUGAGACACGGCCCAGACUCCUACGGGAGGCAGCAGUAGGGAACUUUCGGCAAUGGACGAAAGUCUGACCGAGCAACGCCGCGUGAGUGAAGAAGGUUUUCGGAUCGUAAAGCUCCGUUGUAAGUCAAGAACGUGUGUGAGAGUG